AAUCCUAGCAAGAGGCAGAGGGAGCGAGCGGGCGCGCCCGCCUGGGUAGAAGAGCAGAGCGAGGCGAGCGAGCCGAGUCGCGCUCCGGGCGCCCGGGGAAGGGAGAUCCGGAGUGAAAGGGUGCUUCGCCUCCGGCCCACCCCACCCUGCCCGCCGCCCCCUGCCAGCGGUGCGCAACCCCCCGCCGCACCCGCGAAACUUUGCCGGUUGCGGCGGGCGGACACUGUUCCCUGGAACUUACAACACCCGAGCAAGAACGCGACUCUCCGGUCCGCCUAUUUGGGGAAACAC
This 291-nucleotide non-coding RNA is filed under the name Felis catus (domestic cat). Lineage: Eukaryota; Metazoa; Chordata; Mammalia; Carnivora; Felidae. The record is from RNAcentral.